UCUUCUCUUAUGUGUCAAACCACUCCUCACCUAUAGGCCCAUCUCUCCUCCUGAUGCUGCCCUCCAGCCUCCACCCAAGAUCCCAUGGUGCGCCUGGUUGCCGCUCCGUCUGGCCGGCCGGGAGGUGCGUGCAAGCUACAUCAUGAAUCAGGAGAGCCGCAUGCCAUCGUCUUCUCAUGGAUCUUCCUCGGCUCCGGCUCUGUCCCUGGCCUCCAAGGCGGAUACAUGGUGGUGGCCUUCCCAUGGUCCAAGGUGGCACGCCCGCAGUUGGCGCUGGAUAGCUCGCUGCCCUGCCGCUCUCCAUCCUAAUCGACUCCCCUCGGUCUUCCCCAACUUCGGCCCCGGCAAUAGGCAUUGCGUGCAUGUCUAUGCCGAGGACACAAAUUUGGGGGUCCAGCUCCUUGUGUGAAUGUGCAAGGAAUUCGGAACCUGCAUCUUUAAUAUGACAUGGUAUAUUUAUUCUUAAUCUCUCCAUUACGUUUUGUGUUCCAUUUUUCUCGAUGGAAGUAAUUGUGGUUUAAUUUCACAUGGUUUUUAAACAAAUAAACACAUGAUGUGCUGAAUAGCUGACAUGCAGAGGAAAUGGUACAGCUUGAUGACUAUUUUACUACUAAAUUAUUCUCAGGUAUUUAUUGUUCCUUUUGUGAUAGUUUUCUCUCUCCUAAAAAUGAAAUGAAUCAUUUUUAAUUCUUUGAACAAGUUUGCCUAAAGUAGGGCGCUCAGCCAUUGAGGCAUUAUCAAUUUCUUUUAGAAGCUUCGCAAAAUCUGCUCUUGUACUAAAGAAAUCUAAUGUAGAUUUGUUAGCCUUAUAGGGUACUAUAUGGUGAACACAUGAUAUUAAAUAUACAGUAAAUUGCACUGUGAAGUGAGUAUGUAUAUACUAUCCACACAGGAUUGCCAUUUUGGAGAUGUUGCUGGGAUCAUCAUGGAUUGGGAUGCAUUCUGAUAAUUAGAUAUUAGGUUAGUAGUAUGGGAGUACCUGUCAAGACUGACUUUUGGAAGUUAUGCUAGCAUCAUCAGUUGGGCUUUCUAUACAAAACUAGACUCAAUAUAAUUUAUUUUGGUGCUUGCGAUGAGUAUUAGACAGAGGGGUGAUGACCACAUAGUUCACCCAGUGUAUCUGUUCAUGUAUGUCAUUAAUUAUCUAAUUAGACAAAAAAACUCUCUCUGCAUGGUGUUUGUGAUGAUGUUGUCAAUUCACUAAACACUAAAAUACCAGGUUGUGAUUUUCAAAUCUAGCA
Triticum aestivum (bread wheat) is the source of this 1241-nucleotide long non-coding RNA. RefSeq lists it as uncharacterized. Lineage: Eukaryota; Viridiplantae; Streptophyta; Magnoliopsida; Poales; Poaceae. The transcript has 3 exons. The record is from RefSeq and is a predicted model, not a curated record.